ACCAGAGAGCGGAGGAGGGCAGUUGGGGUGGGGUGGGUUAUUUUACAGGGUGCCCGGAGAAGGCCGUCUAUGAGCCGGCUUUGGACCAGAGACCCAGAUGUGACGGGAGCCCGCGCACACCUGGGCGGACCCCUGAGGACGGCGGGAGGCAGGGGAGCCGCGUCGGAGGUUCUGCAAAUGUGGAUGCCCUGCAGUGUAUUCAGCCAGUUCCCUUCCGAGAGACACGCUUCUCCGACGGAGCGUUUGUCGGAAUUCUGGAUUUUUGUCACCUUGAUAGAUAAGAAAUAAUUCAUGAAGCAAGAACUCUGGAUAUGAAAACUGAAAUCUCCUUUCCGUUUCAGCCUCCUCCCUGGUUUUUAUUUUGUUUUCUUCUCCAUUUCCUACCCUCUCUAAUGUCUGCCCAGCCUCUCAGACCCCCAAGCUAAAGCGUUGAGGAUACGUCUUAGAUUAUGUGCAAAUAUCCUUCAUAUCCUGUCUGUGUGUAUGUUUUUAGUUUAUGUGCAUGGUACUGGGCUGUAGAUCUUGCACCUCUUGCUCAGGACAGUUUUAAUACUGAUCCACGUACAUGACAUCUAAGCAACGCAGGUGUUUUGCAGGCACCUGCCCCCACGCUGGCUCAUCUAUGCCCCUGUGAUAGGCCACAAGGUGCCUCUAACUCCCAAGUAAAGCUGAAACAAGCACCCUCCUAGCUAUCCUUUCACAGUCACGAGGAAUGGCCUGGGGUGGGCAUGCUGUGUCAUGGGACGUGUGUGUAUUUCAUAGAACCAAGUGCUGACAGAUUGCACUCCGGAGACUGCUUCCUCAGUUUACACCCCCCCAGCUGUCACACGCUCCCCCCUUGCCUUGCCAACCUUUGUACAUACACAGGGGUAAAGUGACAGGUGAUUUUUAUUUUAAUUCACUUGGUCUGAACAGUACUCAAAAUAGCUUUAUAAACAAACAUUUUCAAGAGAAAAAUGCUGCACAAGCAAAGGGAAAUUUUUUCUGCAUUGAAUACUUGCAUCCAUGACUAUCCUGUAAAAAGGCGAGGCAUUUAGACCUUUCAUAAGUUAUGUGAUAGUAAAGCUACAGUUCUUUACAGAUAGUAAAGUUUGCAGGUAGUCAAGUUUACAGAUAGUAGUUACAGUUCUUUGACUGCGGUAGAUUUCAUCCCCGCAUUUGAAGCCUUGUUUGCAAUUUUGGAAUCAGAAAAGAUAUUCAAGCAAGUAUUUGAAUAGAAAGACCAAUGAAGAAAUACAGUGUGGGAAUCUGUUUUAAGUUCUGCUAUGAUUAUUUCAUCUUCUUCUAAAUCUCUCUUCUUAAAAAAUCUGUUAUUUUAUCAGUUUCUUUGGUAAGAGUUGAUGAAACCAUCCAUUUCCUGUUCCUAGCUGUCAGCAUACGCUGCUUCAUAUCUGACUUUCCAUCGUUCCCGCAUGCAAUGAACAAUUGCAUGUUGCACAAAGAGCUCCAAAAACUUUCAAUUGCUCUUUGUUGCUACUAAGAUUAACUUAAAUUUACAAUAUUGAAAAAUCAUGCUUCAACCUUAAUGUUGUGACUUUUAACAUGGUUACUUCCUGAUAGACCACCAGUGGACAAAAGUGUAUUUGUUACUUCAUUGUCUUAGACACAUUUUUAAAAAUUGGACUGUAAUUGCUUUACAAUAUUGUGUUAGUUUCUGCUGUACAACAAAGUGAAUCAGCUGUAUGUAUACAAAUAUCCCCUCCCUCUUGGACCUCCCUUCCACUCUCCCCCAUCCCGCCCAUCUGAGCUGAGCUCCCUGUGCUGUACAGCAGGUUCCCAGCAGCUAUCUAUUUUACACAUGGUAGUGUAUUUAGGUCAGUCCUAAUCUCCCACUUCUUCCCAUGUUCCCCUUCCCCCUCUGUCCACAUGUCAGUUCUCUACGUCUGCUUCUCUACUCCUGCCCUGGAAAUAGGUUCAUCUGUACCAUUUUUCUAGAUUCCACACAUAUUAGAUACAUUUUUUUGAAUGAAAUAUUAAAAAAAAUUUUUUUAAUGUAUUUUUAUUUUUUGGCUGCAUUGGGUCUUUGUUGUUGUGCACGGGCUUUCUCUAGUUGUGGCGAGCAGGGGCUACUCUUCAUUGCGGUGCUCGGGCUUCUCCUUGUGGUGGUUUCUCUUGUGGAGCAUGAGCUCUAGGUACGCAGGCUUCAGGAGCUGCAGCACGUGGGCUCAGUAGUUGUGGCUUGUGGGCUUAGUUGCUCCACGGCAUGUGGGAUUUUCCUGGACCAGGGAUCAAACCCGUGUCCCUUGCAUUGGCAGAUGGAUUCUUAACUACUGUGCCACCCGGGGAAGUCCCUAGAUACAUUUUUGAUUUAUCAUUUCAUAGAGAAAAUCGGGGGCACACAAACUGAUAUAUGAGGAUUUCUAGGUUAAUAUGUGAGAGUUCAGGGUAGUAUUGAUACAGUUCUUUCUUCUGUGUCUUAUCCUGUGGCCUCCUCAGGACCUAUGAAGGGAACACAGAAGGGAUGCUGCUGUGCUCUUGGCAGCCUUGUCCCAGGUAAAUUGAGGUUUUCCUCCCCUUUCCUAAAAGUCAUCUGUCUUUGCUAUAGGCAAGCUUGUUAUCUUCCUUGGCCUGGUGCUUCACAGCUCUUCUAAAACCCGCCAUAGAACCCAGUUCCUCUUUCCCAGAAAGGGGGCACCAGAAGACCCAGUGUGGCAGGUGGUGAAAUUUCUCCUCUGUGAGCUCCUGAGGCCCGGGCAUCCAUAUAUCCUCAUGAGGGUUGGAGUGUUCCUUGUCUCUUCUCCACAUGACAUUUACACAAAUGGUCAGUUCAUAUUUUCUCACCACACUGUUGGAAACACGUUGGGCCCACAGAAUGUUCAAGAGAAAUAAAGAACUACAUCUUUCUUCCAGGAACUCAUAAUUUCACAUGGGGACUGUCUCAAUGACAGUGAAAAUGAAUCAUUGCUUACUGUAUGCCAGGCUGUGUGCUGAGUCCUUUAUGUUAAUUUUCUUAAGUAAAUUCUCUUCCACAAACUAUAGUCAAGCGGACUGGGCUGCUGCUUUUAUCCUGGGAACAUUCUAGGGUCUGGGGACACAGGAGCCAGUCUGUCACAGGCAAGGAAACUUUGCUGAUAUGAGGAAAAACUAGCCAAAUUUUUUUUUCAAUACAUACAUAUCUUUUUUUUUUUUUUUUUUAACGAUAAACUGAGUAUAUUUAGAGUGUACAGUUUGGUAUCCCAAUCUCCCUAUUCAUUCCCCCCCAACCCUCCCCACUUUCCUCACUUGGUGUCCAUAUGUUUGCUUUCUAUAUCCGUGUCUCUAUUUCUGCCUUGCAAACCGGUUGAUUUGUACCAUUUUUCUAUAUUCCGCAUAUAUGUGUUAAUAUACAAUAUUUGUUUUUCUCUUUCUGACUCACUUCACUCUGUGUGACAGUCUCUAGGUCCAUCCAUGUCUCUGCAAAUGUCCCAGUUUCAUUCCUUUUAUAGCUGAGUAAUAGUCCAUUGUGUAUAUGUACCACAUCUUCUUUAUCCAUUCAUCUGUCGAUGGACA
This is a long non-coding RNA of Hippopotamus amphibius kiboko, 3489 nucleotides long. RefSeq lists it as uncharacterized. The record is from RefSeq and is a predicted model, not a curated record. The transcript is spliced from 4 exons. NCBI's taxonomy places the organism in Eukaryota, Metazoa, Chordata, Mammalia, Artiodactyla, Hippopotamidae.